UUAGGUGUCAUAUAAAAUAAGACGGACAUAUACAAAAUGUUUCAACUUGGUUACACAGGAUGGAAAGAAUUGAGAAGAAACGCAUCAAAGCUGGAAUGACUCUGAGCAGCAGAUAAUUGGAGUGAACUGUCUGGUCAUACAGCUGCCGUGGUGGAGCAGAGUGGAAUCAAGUGGAUGAGCUCCCCCCGGAGCACCUUCAGUCCCAUCCCUGACACUUCUGCCUGUGUCGAGCUGUCGUUGGUGGUCUCCUCAGCGCCAUUGCCUCUAACCCAACUCAAGAGCUUCUCUCACAUCUCACACCCCACCACCUAACACCAGUGCCAGGCUGCCACCUCAUAAAGAUUUGAAUUACAGUCCAAUAUAACUUUGGGUCUUAUAGGUCUUCUCCCUGGGAUAAUAAGUUUAGAGCUCUGCAGCAGACAUAAAUAGUUUUAGCAGGAAAAUUAUAUUGAAUAGUAAUACUCUCUAGUGCUUUCUGUAAUGACAAAUGAAAGAAGCCUACAUUAAUGAGUCAAUUUUUUUUUCUAGGACUGAGACUACUGCUGUUGAACAACACAGAAAGGAUUUAGCUAAGCAGUUGAUGCACUAAAACAGGCCCAACUGCUAAGUUAUGCAGUGAUUCAUUCAAGGUCAUAGAGAUGCAAGUCAAGCUACACCUGAAAUGGGCAGCAUGCCAAGAGAAGAGUCUUGGUUUUCUAGCUGGACUGGAACCUGGGAGGCUGGAAGGCAGGAGUUGCUUCAUUAUUGUAGACCACGUGGAGCCUGAGAAGUACGUCAACACAGGAAGGAGAGCAGAGCCCAGCCAAGAGCCAGAGAGGAGCUGGGUCUGGGGAUAUUCUAAGUUCCUGUGCAGCUGGGUCAGAAGAUGGCUCUACCCCUGCACCUCUCAGCAUUGUGACUCCC
This is a non-coding RNA of Heterocephalus glaber (naked mole-rat), 903 nucleotides long. The record is from RefSeq and is a predicted model, not a curated record. NCBI's taxonomy places the organism in Eukaryota, Metazoa, Chordata, Mammalia, Rodentia, Bathyergidae.